Molecule: long non-coding RNA, 7631 nt
Filed under: Olea europaea (common olive)
Lineage: Eukaryota; Viridiplantae; Streptophyta; Magnoliopsida; Lamiales; Oleaceae
Description: long non-coding RNA (OEUR_LNC005084)
Source: RNAcentral
GAUGAAGUAAGUUGCCGCUGAAAUUCAUGUCGAAAGUUUCCGGGGUUCAUAUACUGAUCGUGGACCUUGUUGGCUUCAUUGUCUGGCUUCCAGGAGGUGCUCUUUCCUUCAAAGUCAGAAUAUGGUAGUCCACCAUUCAGGUGUAAAGUAGAGCCAUUUGCACAGACACUUUUCACGUCUCUUCCUUCGACUUGUCUUGAGCAAUGUUCAAAAGUUAUGUUAGAAGGCGUGCUUGAUGAGGUUACAUGAAAGUUAUCAUCAACCUUCCUUCUCUUACUAGUUUCUAAACCAUCUUGCCAUAAUUUGUUGCUCUCACUGGCACAAUAGCCGGUCUCAGAAACUCCCUGGCACAAUAGUUGAGUGCCCAUCAGCGCAGAAGUUUCUGGUUGUGUCAGCUCAGUUUGGGAAUAUUCUCUCUUGGAUCCUCUCCUGUCAAUGAUGUCCACCAGAUCAUCCAGGAGUUGAGUCCCAGUCUGCAGCAUUGGUUGCCUUCUUCCAUCUACCUUUGUUUCAUUUGCAUGUGUUUGUAUGGCAAACUGGGCCUGUCGUACUCCACUGACACUAUGAUCCACCUGACUGUACCAACUCGGGCUUCCCCUUUGGUUUAUAUUAGCAUUUCGCAUACUCAAUCUCCUUGCUAUGACAUUUAAUGUAUGAUCCCUUGCUGAAGAUGGUGCUGAAGUUGGAAAUGGCAACGGUAAUUGCAGUGGGGUGUGAUGUACAAAGGGGACAAAACUUUGUGGAUUCUCCGUUUGUCGUUUCUCCAUGCUACGUACGCUUUGAUGCCAUUCCUUCACUGAAGAUGAUGUAGAUUCUGCGUUGAAUCCCAUAUGCCCCUCUGCAUUGUGAAAAUCCAAGUUCCAAGUAAAAGGCAUCUUUCUCUUUUCAUUUAUCUCUUCUUGGUUACCAAUUGCUCUGUCCCUGCUUUGCUUUUCUGCUCCAUUUUCCAAGUCAAAGUUUAACAUUCUCCUGCAUGAUUUUUCUGCAGAGUUCACGUUAGAGACUCCAACUUCGUUCACUACACCAGCCAGUGGAGUUGUGGAGGUUUUGAUGUCCUUUUUGCGCACAUACUUCCUUUUACCCAAAGGAUUUCCAUCGGGGCUAUUAUUUUUUGUGGUAGGCUUUGGUGUCCUUUUGGGUUUCCCUUCCACUACUACUUUUGGUCGGUGUUUUCUUCUUCUGGAUGGUUUCUGCUGUGGUGUCUUGUUCAUAUUAAUUCCUUCAUGAUUUCCAUCAUCAGACACGUUCUUUUCCUUUGGCAAUUCCAAUGUGGAAGUAGAUUCGUCCACAAUGUUCUGCAUUAUUUGAUUAGAUCGUUUCUCUACAAUUUCAGGUGGUUGAGAUAACACUAGACGACUUCCAUUAUCAGAAAUGCUCUUUUCUUUUGGCAAUUUCAGUAUGGCUGCAUAUUCGUCCACAAUGUUCUGCAAUAAUUGAUUAGAUUGUUUCUCUGCAAUUUUAGGUUGUUGAGAGAAAACAUUCUCUAUAUCAUCAUUUUCUUGAAUUGGGAUUUUGUCUACCAACCAAUGUGGUGCUCCAGUGGGCCGGAAGUUCUUUGAUUUGUUUUGCUGAUCUGGUGUUGCUGGCCCUAAUUGGAAGAGCCUGAGUGUACUUGUGGAUGCACCUGCUUCGGUUCUUGGUGGUGGUAAGUUCAGAUUAUAAUUGGGCCGGUAGUUAACCAACCGUCCAUCUGCCAUAAUGCAGCAUCAUAACAAUCAGUAAUGAUAAAAUUGUAACAAUAUUCUUUGUUCAUAUAUAUGUUUACAUGAAAGUUUAAUGAUUCUUGUCCGUUUAGAUUGACAUCUGUGGACACGGAUUAUGUCAAGACCUUCAAUAAAUGAUAAAAUUGAACUGGGAUUUACAUAAUUUUCUUUUUCAAAAUUAUUUGAAAAUUGAGUGAUGUCACCGAUCACGUGAAAGAUACGCAUGAAACUGAAAAGCAGGGGGCAUACGUCCCUGAUCACGUGAAAAUGAAUCUAUUCCUUUGUGGAUGCACAUGAAGAUUGAAACAUGGAACUUGUUAUUUACACCUAGAAGGUAUGACAUUGAUUACGCAAAAUAGUAUGCACAAAACAUGGAAGUAAAACCUAGUGAAUGUAACGUUCAUUGUGUGAAACAGGGAUGCACAAGACAUGGGAAGUAGAAGGAUUUAUGUCAUCGAUCACAUGUAAAUACCCCUAGCCCAGGGAGGGCAAGUCUUGCGCUGUAUAAAACAAAGUAUAAUUGUCAUAUUUAUGCGUAUUAAUUUCUGAUGUCACAGCCAAAUAAGAUUACGAGGUUAUAGAAGGCUAACCUUGCGAAAGCACUAGCAAAGUGUCGGCACUCUCCUCUCAUUGGGCAUGCAUUACAAUUUGGUUGUUUCUUUGUGCAGAAAACCUGUAUCCAAGAUUAAGAAACUAUCUAUUAUGAACCUCUCAUGUACCGAGGACGAUAAUGAGCUCCAGUGAAGACAUACCUUUCCAAAUGUUAUCAUUUGAUAGUGUAGCUCAUACCUGCAGUUCCAUAAUAUAUAAAUCAGUAGAACUUCUCCAGGUAUGUAUAAAAAUUUCUUCUGAUUAAACUGUCGAUAAUAAGAGAUUUUCGAAUUGAAAUGAGUCACUCUGAGAAAGGAAAUUACAAUGUUUUCUGAUCCAGCUUACAGAGUCUGGGCCAAAGAUAUUUCUGGAUAGAUUCCAGAACUGGGUACCUGCAUGAAACAAAAUUAGAAUCAAGAGUAGCUCAUAAACUUCACUGUUGAUUGCUUGGCAUGUACUUACAAUUCAAGGAGAUGCAAUUGGAGUGCCUCAGGUAGUGGCUGGAGAGGCACCCAUCCAAGUCGCACGGCAAUUCGUCCAACAUUUGUGUCAACCUAAGAAACCACAUAGUUAGGGUAAGACUUCUUCUUUUUUUUUUUUUUUCCUUUUUUUGCUUAUUGAUAUUGGGUAUAAGUUUUCUAUACAGGCAAAUGGCCUUACAGGGAAUGCAAGGUUAUGAAGUGUUAAUAGGCGUACGCACUCCACGCUCUUUAACCCCAGUCCUCGUAUGCUUAGUAGAUAAUCUCUGCAAGGCAUUAUGUACUCAGAGGCAAAGAGUGAAACUUUAGAGAUGGCAGAGAUACUGGAUGACAUGUCCUUGCCUUCCAUUACAUACUUUCCAAAGAUGGGUCAUGAAAGGAUUAAUUUCUUUUAGGAAACUUACUUUGACUUUUCUGGUGGAACGUCUCUCAACCAUUCCAGAUCCAUUCCUCCAUGGUCGUCAACCAGUCGAUUGAGAAAAUCCUAUAGAAUAUCCAACUAGUGUUAUACUCUGUGCUUUAGGUUUUAAUGGACUAUCGGUAGUUUUAUUGGAGUCCGCUUUAUAAACAUUCUACUAACCUUAAUUCUCUCUGCUAGCAUGUUGUUCAUUCCCCUUUCCUUGAUUGUUUCAGAAAUCUCACGAACAUUAGCCUUUCUUAAUGCUUCAUAGUCCAAAGAGUCCAUUGUUUCCUCAGUUCUCUCUCUUUUUCCCACCUCCAAUUGUGCCUGCUUUCUCAACUCAUCCCAAAGACAUGCUUCUCUCUUUUCCUUCUCAACUUUUGUCUUUCUUGCAUUUGAACUUGUGGGACCUGUCCAAUUUGUUGGUUUGGUAGAAGAAUUUACUUGUCCUGCGUCAUGUGGUUUAGAUAUUUUAUUCUUCAAAUGUAGGAAAAUAUCUACAACAAUUUGAACCUGUACAUAAAAAUUUUGUCCAGUAAAGCUAGUGAUGUCAGGGUUUUCAAGGAUAUUACCAUUUGGCUUUUCAUUGAAUGCUUCAGCAGGCAUUGUGCAGUCUGAUAGGAAGUUGCUUUCUUGCUGAGUGGUCUUGUGGCUUCCUCUGUUGCAGUUGGUGGAAUGUUGGCCCUCUCUGCUUUGAUACCCAGAUUGUAUAUUAGUCUGUGGUUCAAGGCACUUGUUUUGAAUUGUAUGGUCCACUCUUGUUGCUGGAUCUGGUCUUUCAGUCUGUUGGUUGAUAAAACUUCUUUCUGCAUCUGUUGUCUUGGUAUUCUCAAAAUCUGUUGAAGCCAAAGAGGAUAUGCUUUCUUUUCCUGGAGAUGCCAGGAAAUUUGAUUCCCAUUCUUCCAAGCCUGUUCUCAUGCCCAACCAGGAAUUGGUGGAUGGAGGGAUUGGCCUCUGAUGAUGCGGCAAAUUGGAAGUGAUUGGACUGGCAUAUGCCUUGCUGCCUCCAUCCAGUCCUUGAUUUUGCAGGUUGUACACAGGAUUUUCUGAUUGAGGGAGAUUUUUAUUUGCAGAAGAACUUCCCAUCACUCGACGCUGAUAUUCCUGUAAUGCAGCCAUUCUUUCAGCCUGUUCAAAAAGAUUCAGAGGGCCACAGUUUUUGCCUAAAUGACACACCGAUAUCUGAUCUUCGGCUUCUGAAUUUGAUCCUGAGCUGGAUCUGAUAUCUUCAUUUGCUUGGAAUACAAGGGAUUCAGAAGAACUUUGUGAUGAAAUUACGUCAUCCUCUGCUCUUCUAUUUUGCUUGUCCAUUGCAAAGUUUCUUGUUCCUGUCACAACAUUUCCUGCUCUAUAUUGACACGAUUCACUGGAUGUUACAGAGUUGUGGUUGUACACUGGCUGUCUUAUUGUGCUGUGAUCAUAAGUUAUAGUGCCAUCUGGACAAGUUACUUGAACCUCAUGUUCUUCAACUGACGGGCUAACUUCAUUUUGAUAGCAUGAUUGUCUGAUAAUUGUCGAUUUCAGGGGGAAUUUGGCUGCAAGACACAUGAAAGCAGAACUGCACAAGGGGAAAAUAUACGCAGAGACCAUCAGCUUAGGUAAUCUUGUUCGUCACUCAAAAGUUCUAUUAAAAAUGUUGGCUUUACCUUGAAAGAUGAUCUGAUACAUUCUGUGUGAGAAACACUCCUACCACGGAGUCAACAACUGAUCCUUUCCAUUUGGAGAAUCGUCUAUCACCUGCAAAUGUUACAAUUUCCAAUCAGAUUACGUUUCUAUGAAUCCAUGCAUUUGGUGAGGUAAAGUCAAAGCUUAUUUGCUUCUUUUUGGUUUGGUUCUGAAGUAAAAUGAAUCCCAAUUUACAUAGUUUCAAGAAAUAACACUAGAAUUUAUUAUGGCAUUUACUAAUUUAAGUGUGCUUUCCUAAAACUAAAUAAAAGCAGAAUUAAGACAAAAUAUGCAGAAAAUCAUUUUAGUAAUAAGAGUGGUGAAGUCACAAUAGUGGAUCAUCUCUCAAAUAAUGUUGGUUUAUGUAUUUAUAUUCAAGUGUGAUUUCCUUAAACUAAACAAUUAAGCAGAAUUAAGACGAAAUAUACAGAAUAUCCUUUUAGGAAUAAGAGUGUUGGUAAAGUCACAAUAGAGGAUCAUCUCUCAAAUAAUGUUGGUUUAUGUAUUUUGAUUUAAGUGUGCUUUCCUAAAACUAAACAAUUAAGCAGAAUUAAGACGAAAUAUACAGAAUAUCCUUUUAGGAAUAAGAGUGUUGGUAAAGUCACAAUAGAGGAUCAUCUCUCAAAUAAUGUUGGUUUAUGUAUUUUGAUUUAAGUGUGCUUUCCUAAAACUAAACAAUUAAGCAGAAUUAAGAUGAAUUAUACAGAAUAUCCUUUUAGGAAUAAGAGUGAUGGGAAAGUCACAGUAGAGGAUCAUUUCCCAGAUAAUGUUGGUUUAUGUAUUUAGAUUUGGUUGCAAAUAAGAAACCAAGACUUAAGAGGAUGUGAUGGAUAGGAUUAGGGCGAUUAAAAUAAACUGUAGAAGCACUAUAAGGAUUAUAUAUGAUCGAAUAUAUCCACCAUGUUAAAAUAAAUUUUAUGAACAGAUACCUUACUAGUUAUAUUGUUAAAUAAUAAAAUGUCUAUAACGUAAAUGAGUAUGUUAAGAUGGAUGAGUGGAAAUACAAGAACAGAUCAAACAAAAAAAUUUGAGGUUAUACAUCAAGUGGAUUUGAUACUAUUUGGAGAUAUAUUAAAGGAAGGAUGAUUUAGAUGGUUGGUACAUGGCUUCCAUAGAUCCAUAUAAGCUCUAUUCACAAGAAUGAUGUUAUUUGAGUUUAGCAAGUAGACUAAAGUCAACAAGACAUUUUGUUGCAAAAGAUUUGAGUACAUUGGACCUUUCACGAGAUUCACCACACUGAAGGGAGUGGACAAAACAGAUUCACGUAGCUAGCACAAGUUUAUUGCAAAUACUACUAAGCUUAUUAUUUUUGUUGUUCAUUGUUGUGGCUACAACACGUGAACUGAACCAUGUGAUUAUUUCCAGGUUAUGAUCACUAAAGACAACCAUUCUCUUUCUUCAAAGUCCUAUCUAGAAAGCAAUAGGGGCACCAUUGUGGUUUUGCACUCUCGGACUUCCCCCAUACUCUCCCUUCACACACUCCCCAAAUCACAAUGAUUUCUAAAUAAUAAAACUUGUUACUUUGUGUAAACAAUUAGCUGUAUUUGUUAUUGUUUUCUUACAACAAAAACAAAACUUAUCAUUAACUCCUAAGAUUCCUAAGGUAUAUUUCACAUUAUCAUCUUCACAUGUUUAAGAAAAUUAUAAAAUUUGGACUUAUAUAUGGUAUAUUUCGAGUGCAUUUACAUUUAAUCAAAAGAUUAAUAUUAUCUAACAUGUUAUGUAAAGAUAAUGUAUGAAAUAGAAUCGAUAAUGGAAUAGGGAUAGCUUAAGCAUGGUAUCAGCGAUGCCAACAAUUUCAUUGUCUGGGAGAAAAUACCUUGAACAAGAUGCAUCCGUGCAAUGAACGAGUCUACUCGUCCGCGGAACACUUUCCUCUCUUCUUCCCACCAUUUUUCUUUAUUCUUGUCUGUCGUUUCUGUGCUUUCACUUCCUUCCUUACCCAUCAAAAGAUUCCAUAGUCUAUUUGUCUCUGGAUCAAGAUCCACUUUAGGUCGUGGCCGUCGUUUUUUAAUUGGAUCAAAUUCUUCAUAUGGAACGAUAGCACCAUCUUGUUUAUAUGGAACAAGUGCACCUUGCUCCUCCCCAACAAUUUUCUUUCCACUACAGUUGAUGCUCAGAGAUUUUAAACUUUCUAUAAUAUUAUCAACUGAAAAUAAACGUCUGCUGUCUCCAAGCGAGCCUGCACAAAACAUAGAAAAACUGCUUAAAAUUUUUAAAUAACAACGUUAUGUUGAUGCUAACAGCAUAACUUGACGAAUAGAUGGGUAUCUAUGAUGUUUUUGGAGGGACCUUUGUAACCCCUUGUCUUGUUCUCUUUACUGAUGACUUUCUCCAUAUUAAUUGCUUGGUUGAAUGAUUUCAGUCUAGCUGUUUGUUCCUUCACCGAAAGGUGAAUAGAAGAAUUUAUUAUUUCAUUCCCUCGAAUGAUUUUAGGGCCCCUUUGAGAUGAAGACGCCUGAUUCCAUAGAAUUGCACCAAGGGAAUUGCUGCUUUGGGCUUUAUUAGUGUGACAAGUGACGUUCUGCACCAUAUGUUCUGCAAAUGAAUAAACUUGAGAUGAAGUAAGUUGCCGCUGAAAUUCAUGUCGAAAGUUUCCGGGGUUCAUAUACUGAUCGUGGACCUUGUUGGCUUCAUUGUCUGGCUUCCAGGAGGUGCUCUUUCCUUCAAAGUCAGAAUAUGGUAGUCCACCAUUCAGGUGUAAAGUAGAGCCAUUUGCACAGACACUUUUCACGUCUCUUCCUUCGACUUGUCUUGAGCAAUGUUCAAAAGUUAUGUUAGAAGGCGUGCUUG